Chlorocebus sabaeus (green monkey) is the source of this 6303-nucleotide RNA transcript. It is a transcript of the gene named glucosidase alpha, neutral C, with no coding region annotated. The record is from RefSeq and is a predicted model, not a curated record. Lineage: Eukaryota; Metazoa; Chordata; Mammalia; Primates; Cercopithecidae.
GACUCAUUGCGUACAUGCCCUCACCGCCGCCCAGUUUCGGUUCCUAACAAAAGCAUGUUCCUCCUCAGCCACCCGUAAUCAAGAUAAAUUUGCCAAGUAAAUCAUUGUAGAAACGCUAGUUUGGGCCUGAAAAAUUCCAGGAGCAAGAGUCAAGAUUUGUCACUCCAUGAGGAUCUGGAGGGAACUCCCUUUCUAGAAACUUGACGGUGAAGUGCUGGUUGUAAUUUUAGAAAGACAUCCAAUCGUCUUUUUUAAAAGAUCGCCUAGGGCCCUUGUCCUGAGAGCUGGGAGCUGGUCGGAGUGACAGAGAAGCCAUGGAAGCAGCUGAGAAAGAGGAAAUAAGCGUUGAAGAUGAAGCUGUGGAUAAAAACAUUUUCAGAGACUGCAACAAGAUCGCAUUUUACAGGCAUCAGAAACAGUGGCUUUCCAAGAAGUCCGCCUAUCAGGCAUUACUGGACUCAGUCACAACAGAUGAAGACAGCACCAGGUUCCAAAUCAUCAAUGAAGCAAGUAAGGUUACUCUCCUGGCUGAAAUUUAUGGUAUAGAAGGAAACAUUUUCAGGCUUAAAAUUAAUGAAGAGACUCCUCUAAAACCCAGGUUUGAAGUUCCUGAUGUCCUCACAAGCAAGCCAAGCACUGUAAGGCUGAUUUCAUGCUCAGGGGACACAGGGAGUCUGAUAUUGGCAGAUGGAAAAGGAGGCCUGAAGUGCCAUAUCACAGCAAACCCAUUCAAGGUAGACUUGGUGUCUGAAGAAGAGGUUGUGAUUAGCAUAAAUUCCCUGGGCCAGUUAUACUUUGAGCAUCUACAGAUUCUUCACAAACAAAGAGCUGCUAAAGAAAAUGAGAAGGAGGCAUCAGUGGACACCUCUCAGGAAAAUCAAGAGGAUCUAGGCCUGUGGGAAGAGAAAUUUGGAAAAUUUGUGGAUAUCAAAGCUAAUGGUCCUUCUUCCAUUGGUUUGGAUUUCUCCUUGCAUGGAUUUGAGCAUCUCUAUGGGAUCCCACAACAUGCAGAAUCACACCAACUUAAAAAUACUGGUGAUGAAGAUGCUUACCGUCUUUAUAACCUAGAUGUCUAUGGAUACCAAAUAUAUGAUAAAAUGGGCAUUUAUGGUUCAGUACCUUAUCUCCUGGCUCACAAACUGGGCAGAACUAUAGGCAUUUUCUGGCUGAAUGCCUCAGAAACGCUGGUGGAGAUCAAUACAGAGCCUGCAGUAGAGUAUACACUGUCCCAGAUGGGCCCAGUUGCUGCUAAACAAAAGGUCAGAUCUCGAACUCAUGUGCACUGGAUGUCAGAAAGUGGAAUCAUUGAUGUUUUUCUGCUAACAGGACCUACACCUUCUGAUGUCUUCAAACAGUACUCACACCUUACAGGCACACAAGCCAUGCCCCCUCUUUUCUCUUUGGGAUACCACCAGUGCCGCUGGAACUAUGAAGAUGAGCAGGACGUAAAAGCAGUGGAUGCAGGGUUUGAUGAGCAUGACAUUCCUUAUGAUGCCAUGUGGCUGGACAUAGAGCACACUGAGGGCAAGAGGUACUUCACCUGGGACAAAAAAAGAUUCCCAAACCCCAAGAGGAUGCAAGAGCUGCUCAGGAGCAAAAAGCGUAAGCUUGUGGUCAUCAGUGAUCCCCACAUCAAGAUUGAUCCUGACUACUCAGUAUAUGUGAAGGCCAAAGAUCAGGGCUUCUUUGUGAAGAAUCAGGAAGGGGAAGACUUUGAAGGGGUGUGCUGGCCAGGUCUCUCCUCUUACCUGGAUUUCACCAAUCCCAAGGUCAGAGAGUGGUAUUCAAGUCUUUUUGCUUUCCCGGUUUAUCAGGGAUCUACGGACAUCCUCUUCCUUUGGACUGACAUGAAUGAGCCCUCUGUCUUUAGAGGGCCAGAGCAAACCAUGCAGAAGAAUGCCAUUCAUCAUGGCAAUUGGGAGCACAGAGAACUCCACAACAUCUACGGUUUUUAUCACCAAAUGGCCACUGCAGAAGGACUGAUACAGCGAUCUAAAGGGAAGGAGAGACCAUUUGUUCUUACACGUUCUUUCUUUGCUGGAUCACAAAAGUAUGGUGCUGUGUGGACAGGCGACAACACAGCAGAAUGGAGCUACCUGAAAAUUUCUAUCCCGAUGUUACUCACUCUCAGCAUUACUGGGAUCUCUUUUUGUGGAGCUGACAUAGGCGGGUUCAUUGGGAAUCCAGAGACAGAGCUGCUAGUGCGUUGGUACCAGGCCGGAGCCUACCAGCCCUUCUUCCGUGGCCAUGCCACCAUGAACGCCAAGCGACGGGAGCCCUGGCUCUUUGGGAAGGAACACACCCGGCUCAUCCGAGAAGCCAUCAGAGAGCGCUAUGGCCUCUUGCCAUAUUGGUAUUCUCUGUUCUACCAUGCACACGUGGCUUCCCAACCUGUCAUGAGGCCUCUGUGGGUAGAGUUCCCAGAUGAACUAAAGACUUUUGAUAUGGAAGAUGAAUACAUGCUGGGGAGUGCAUUAUUGGUUCAUCCAGUCACAGAACCAAAAGCCACCACAGUUGAUGUGUUUCUUCCAGGAUCAAAUGAGGUCUGGUAUGACUAUAAGACAUUUGCUCAUUGGAAAGGAGGGUAUACUGUAAAGAUCCCAGUAGCCUUGGACACUAUUCCAGUGUUUCAGCGAGGUGGAAGUGUGGUACCAAUAAAGACAACUGUAGGAAAAUCCACAGGCUGGAUGACUGAAUCCUCCUAUGGACUCCGGGUUGCUCUAAGCACUAAGGGUUCUUCAGUGGGUGAGUUGUAUCUUGAUGAUGGCCAUUCAUUCCAAUACCUCCACCAGAAGCAAUUUUUGCAUAGGAAGUUUUCAUUCUGUUCCAGCGUUUUGAUCAAUAGUUCUGCCGACCAGAGAGGUCAUUAUCCCAGCAAGUGUGUGGUGGAGCAGAUCUUGGUCUUAGGCCUCAAGAAGGAGCCAUCUUUUGUGACUACCCACUCAUCUGAUGGUAAAGAUCAGCCUGUGGCUUUUACAUACUGUGCCAAAACGUCCAGCCUGAGCCUGGAGAAUCUCUCGCUCAACAUUGCCACUGACUGGGAGGUCCGCAUCAUAUGACAAAGAACUGCCCCUGGUGAUGUGAGCAGGGACCUGCCAGUCCCUUUCAACCUUCCCCUCGCCUUUUUUGAGAUUUGUGCAGCAAUCUACUUGCCUUUCCUGAGUCAAAAUAAUCUUUCAUUCGUCACCAUUAUACUAAUGAACAAUAGAUUUCAUGUUUUAAAUUUUCAGAUUUUACAUGUUAAGAUGUACUAGCAAUAUUCCUUGUGUCAAACAUCCCCUUUUCUCCUGGAUACAUAGCCCUGAGACAUUUAUAGCGUUCAAGAGUCUUCUGUUGCUUCCAUUGCUUGAGCAAGGCUGCAUGGUUCUGUUUUAAUGUGGGCCAAGCCUACCUGGGCAACCCCUUUGCCAGGGCUUGCCUCGGGCCAUGCAGCAUUGGCGUUGUGGCUGCAGCAACUGAGUUGCUUGAGGCCAGUCUCCAAGUGGACAGCAGCCUCUGAUAGUCCCCACGGUUAUCUUCCACCCACAUGGACUGGGCAAAGCAGCCCUCUUCUGUGUGCACUGCAUACACUGCAGCAGUGGGAGUUAUUCUCCCCUAGAGAUCCACUUGGCAGCACGAAGGAUUCUUUUCUCUUUCAUGCUUCUCAGGCUCAAUAGUUUCUAAUUAAUCUUAAAAUCCAUGUCUUUUAAAUUGUUUUUUAAUUAAGUGCUGUCUGCUAACCAAAGAAUAUUUGUAACGUGAGUAAGCUAUGAUUAAUAACAAUGAAAUGAAUACCCACGUACCCACCACUGGAUUUCCGAAGUAGAACUCAUGACUGGGACUAGGAUGAGGCAAGGGAGGCCCUGGCCUUGGGCACAAAAUGUAAGGGAUGCCAAAAAAUACAGUAAUCAAAAUAAGUAAUAUUUCAAUCCACUAUUUUUAAAAAUCAGAAUUAAUGCAAAAAAAAAAAAAAAAAAAAACACCAUGAUGAACAAAAUAUCAAAAUUUAAAAUAAAGACAGGAUUAGUAUUACUGAGUUUUCCUUUGUCCCAGGCUCUAAUGUGGCUUGGCAUGGAGCAGAACAUUACAAUAUACCAGUCGCAUCAUAAUGCCCAAGGCUCUGCAGACCCCAGUGGCUCCCUGCUGCCUGCCUCAGCAUCUGUUUUGGCAGCCUCAACUCCCCAGCACUCCUCAGCACACACCUCUUCUUUUCAGGCUUCCUCCACUUAGCAACUUGCCAGUGGCCACCUCUGUGCCUUCUCAUCCCUGGGCACCAAUAUCCUCCUGCCCUUACCAUCCUUCCAGGCCCAACUCAAAUCCCACUUUCCCAUUAAGCCUAACUACGCGAACACCCCUACCCCCAUACCCAUUAGUAGUGAUUUUGCCCUUCCCUGUAAUGCUAUCCCACUUAUAACUGUGCUCUACUUACCAUUCUCAGGGAUCAUACCUUAAUGUUUUCAGUGUGUCUCUGUUCUCACUAGAUUGUAUGUUCCUCAAGAGCAUGUUCUAUUUCUCUUCUAUCUGACACAGCACUAUUAUACCUGACUUUCAGUAACUGUUAGCUGUGAUUGGUUAGGUGGUGGAUUUAAUUGAUUAAAAAAUUACAUUUGAAUGUAUUUCCAUCUGAUUUACUUUUCUGAUACAAGAUUCUUCCCAAUGGCAGUCAGCAUUGUACAUUUCCUCAUGGACACAUUUCAUUGUAUAGGUUGAGAUUUGAGCUCUGCACCAUAUGUAAGCUCACAGAGACCUGCACAGAUUCUUUGCUCCUAUAUCUGUAAGUUUUGCAGUUGAGAAGAAAGGAGCAACCUUAUAUUAGCUGAAGCCAUGGUUCCUAUCUUCAAAUUUCCCUUGCCAACCUAAAAUAAAACUUAGCCAGAAGACUGGGUGCUCCUCCCUAAUAUAAAUGAUAGUUUUUAAUAUCAUUUAAAGUUGAAUCAGAACUCUCUUUAGGUCAACAUUUAUUGCACAUCUGUUCUUCCAUUUAAAAUAUUGUUGGAGGAAUGGAACAGUAACUAGUAGAUAAGUUAAUGAGGAGCUGCUCUGUUUUGACCCAAAUCUAUAUUGAAACAUUUGACUAGAGACAAGUGGAGAGAAAGAUAACCUGGACGUUUUUAAUGGUUUUCUGCGCUUAUUGCUUCUCACACUUCACCUGCCUCCCAUUUCUGAAUUUGUGUACCAGAGAGCAAUAUGGGGCUGAGUUGGCCUACAGGGUUCCUAAAAAAGCUCUAAAAUGAAUUCAUAGUGUGUCUUUCCUUCAAGAUAUAAAUGUCAAGGAAUGAGUUGACAAAUCAGUUUAAAAACAGAAACUACCCAACAGAAAAAUGUAAGUAUAAUCUUUCAGGAUUAUAUAAAAUCAAUAUUAAAAAUAUUUUGUAAUAUUUUUAUAUAAAUACAUAAACAUUUUAUAUAUGGAGCCUGGUGACAGAGACUCCAUCUAAAAAAAAAAAAGAGAUAAUCUCUAAAAUGUUGUAUGUUUUCUGAUACUUAACUGUCAAAAUACAGCAGAUAUCUCAAGUUUCCUCAGAUGUAAAAUGGAAUUAGUGAAACUUGCAGAGUGUUUCUACAAAUUUGAAAUAUUUUAUGUGUACAGAAGGGGAAAAAUAGUAACAUUACCAGGGAGAAACUCGGUAAACAUUACUUUAGGCAAGUGAUCAAAGUUGACAUCACCUGUAAUAAAACCUGUCAAUAUCGUGUAGCCCCAAAUAUGGUUUGAGGAGGUGGCCAUGUCACAUCUGUGACAGUCUUCCCCCAAAUCCAUAACCUUAGUCUAAUCAUGUGAAAAAUAUCAGAGAAACCCAAAUUUAGGGUCAUUCUACAAAAACCUGACAAAUACUCUUCAAAAGUGUCAAGGUCAUGAGAGAAAGACUGUGGAAUGAUCAGAGACUGGAGGACACUAAGGAGUUCUAUCUUUGCAACUCUUUUGUAAGUCUAAAAUUAUCUUAAAAUAAAAAGUUUUUUAAAGGUCUCUGUGAAGUGGCUAGCUCCCAGUAGGCACUUAAUGAAUGAGAGAUAUUAUAAUGAUAAGCAAAAACAUUGCUUCCAAUAGUGUUAGAAAUCAAAGAAAUGCUUCUUGGUGGAAAAGACAGAGCCAUUAGUUGGCAAUGCUGUGCAACAGAAACCAUUCCAGCCACAGAUAUUACAUGACCGUGGGUGACGUCUGUUAUAAAAACUGGUUCUUUCCUUAAAGGGGCUUCUGGGAAUUGAAAUGUGCAGCUGUUUAUGUGUUCAUUAUCUGCCCUUUGUUCAUGGGCUCGAGUUGGAUUUCUCCCUAAUAGCAUUGGUUUCCACAGCUGUGCCACUGAAUAAACCUUGAGUUUGGACCUA